This 410-nucleotide ribosomal RNA is filed under the name uncultured Methylomirabilota bacterium. RNAcentral describes it as "bacterial SSU rRNA". It matches the Rfam family "Bacterial small subunit ribosomal RNA", at positions 1025 to 1434 of the family's 1533-position model. Lineage: Bacteria; Methylomirabilota (SeqCode). The record is from RNAcentral.
AGCGUGGAGACAGGUGGUGCAUGGCUGUCGUCAGCUCGUGUCGUGAGAUGUUGGGUUAAGUCCCUCAACGAGCGCAACCCUCACCUCUUGUUGCCAUCAGGUCAUGCUGGGCACUCUAGAGGAACUGCCCCGGUCAACGGGGAGGAAGGCGGGGAUGACGUCAAGUCAUCAUGCCCCUUACGUCCUGGGCUACACACGUGCUACAAUGGCCGGUACAAAGGGAUGCCACACCGCGAGGUAGAGCUAAACCCAAAAAGCCGGUCUAAGUUCAGAUUGGAGUCUGCAACUCGACUCCAUGAAGGAGGAAUCGCUAGUAAUCGCGUAUCAGCACGACGCGGUGAAUACGUUCCCGGGCCUUGUACACACCGCCCGUCACACCACGAAAGCCUGCUGUACUCGAAGUCGCUGAG